This 470-nucleotide ribosomal RNA is filed under the name bacterium enrichment culture clone Geo257_782_1.fa. Its description in RNAcentral is "bacterial SSU rRNA". It matches the Rfam family "Bacterial small subunit ribosomal RNA", at positions 66 to 514 of the family's 1533-position model. The record is from RNAcentral.
ACGCGAAAGGGACUUCGGUCCUGAGUAAAGUGGCGCACGGGUGAGUAACGCGUGGAUAAUCUACCCAAUGAUCUGGGAUAACAUCUCGAAAGGGGUGCUAAUACCGGAUAAGACCACGGAGUCUUCGGAUUCUGCGGUAAAAGGUGGGGACCUUCGGGCCUACCGUCAUCGGAUGAGUCCGCGUACCAUUAGCUAGUUGGUGGGGUAAUGGCCUACCAAGGCUACGAUGGUUAGCUGGUCUGAGAGGAUGAUCAGCCACACUGGAACUGAGACACGGUCCAGACUCCUACGGGAGGCAGCAGUGGGGAAUUUUGCGCAAUGGGGGAAACCCUGACGCAGCAACGCCGCGUGAGUGAUGAAGGCUUUCGGGUCGUAAAGCUCUGUCAGAGGGGAAGAAAUGUAUAGGUGCUAAUACCACUUAUACUUGACGGUACCCUCAAAGGAAGCACCGGCUAACUCCGUGCCAGCAG